This 2447-nucleotide long non-coding RNA is filed under the name Lathyrus oleraceus (garden pea). RNAcentral's name for it is "Pisum sativum (pea) long non-coding RNA (PSAT_LNC033929)". The record is from RNAcentral. Lineage: Eukaryota; Viridiplantae; Streptophyta; Magnoliopsida; Fabales; Fabaceae.
UCAAUUGCGUACUUCAUUCUAUAACCAAUAAUCCAUGUCCAAAGCAAUCCAAACAUUACAUUUCAUUCAAUUUACAACUGCAAGCUCAAAGUUCAUGUUCCAAAUACAUAACUAUUUUAAAUUAUAUACUUCAAGGCAUUUUCCAUACAUCAAUUAUGCCAUUUCCAACAACGUACAAAUUUUCGACUCGAGCAUUUCUCAUUGAGCCAUUCAAACUUCAAAAUAACCAUACAUAUUCAAGUUUACCUUGCCAUGUACUCAAAUUACAACACAUAAACGCAUUCAUUUAACAAGUUCCAAAACAUAUUACAAUAUUCAAACAUAGCUAUAUCUACCAAGAUCAAUCCGGAACAUCCAACGCGGUCUCGUCUCCUUCCAAUGCACAUCUUCCCAUGGCUCAUUCCAAUGCACUCCAGGACAACCUACAACCUGUUGCAAAAAGCUGUUCUUUAGAAAUUUUGCAAAAAAGCUGUUAUGUGAAAAAUUUGGAAAAGUUGUUGUGUCAACUUGGAGCUUACACUGUUCAGUCUAUCCAUUUUGUUCGUGAUGGAAUAGAUCAGGCCCAUAGCAGAUCUGCCCACAACAAUGUCAUUACAAUUCGUAACCAAUCAUAACAACAACAGGGUAUAACAGAACCAAGAAAAUUCAGGGGAGUUAGAUACUUAGCAGAACAUCUCCACAACAAGAUUGAAUACAAGGCGUGUUAGAUACUUAGCAGAAAAUCUCCACAACAAAGAUUGAAUACAAGGCUCACAGAAGGAACAGUUUUCUCGAUCCUUAUACAAUAACUCCUCAUGUGGCCAUUCGGUCAACCUGCAGGAUUACGCAAUAAAAUCUUAUUAGCCACCAUAUCAAAGAAUACUACAAACAAAUAACAGAACGAUGCAUAUGAGAAUGACAUCAAAUCCCAAUCCUUAACAAAAUUUCUCUAAUCAAUUUCCAUUCACCACCUCUAACUAACAUUUCAACCUCCUAAUUGUUUCAACAAACUCUAACCGUCUUUCAACUAACCGUAACAAACUUCUCACAAAACUCCACACAAACUCUAAAAAAUUUGAAGGAAUGAAAAUCAUAACAUAAUUAGAGGCUAUAUAAAUGGAAACUUACUUCACUUCAUAGGCAGGAAUCUUUGGCCUGGAAAUUUUUCAACAGAAAUUCUUCACACCUUGAACAUCCUCUUUUUCCACCUCAAGACACCUGCAAUGUAUAACAGUUUUUUGCAUCAGUUAGUUUGAAUUUAAUAGUCAAUUCAUUAACUGGUUUUUUCCAAAGUCCAAAUCAACAUAGUCAUAACAGAGACUUCAACUAACAUCCAACUAAAAAAACUAACAUAACUGAUUCACUCUAACUAACUUUGGAUAUAACUAACAACUCUAACAAACUUAUCUAACGAACCCUUUUUAAGGGAACUGCUAACCCUCAAUUGACUGGAGCUAAGCAGGAUUUAACAGAGAUUAUCUCUGUUAAAUCCAACUGCUAUUUAUACACAUCCAUCAUUCACCAGGUAGUUUUAGAAUCGCCAUUUGCAAGAACCCAACACUCUACACUCUCAAUCUCUCUCCAACUCAGAGAGUUCUCUCAAUCUCACCUUCAAUUCUCAAUUUCGCGCAUACAAAAACCACGACGCAAGAUGACGCAGCGAUAGCACAGAAUCCACAGUUCUCUCAAUUCCUACAAUUUACAGAAGAAGUUUAGAAGAAGAAGAGGAUCAAAGGGAAGAGCUAGGAUUGAGAUUUACCUGAUUCAAGCAUUCUUCUGAUGCAUCUUCGUCUUCUCCGAUUCAACCUUCGCCAGAGGUAAAUCUUCUUCCUUUUCUUCUUUUCGUAAUAUUGUUACCAUGGUGUAGAGGAUGUUCUUGGCAUCAAUAGCCCUCAUCCAUGAGCGAGAAUCUAUGAGUGUGCACCAUUUAAUUUGACUUUGAUUAUCCUAGGGUUCUUCACCUUUUGGCUUUGGUUUGAACAACUCUGGUUGAAUCAGGAUUUUUCAUUGGGAUUUUUAGAUUUAGUGCACAGAACAGGGUUGGGUUUUAGUCUUGAUUGUUGUUUUGAUUUGUCUCUGCCGCCAGAUGAUGGCCUCCGACACGGCGGAGGGAGACGAGAGGGAAAAGAAUGGAGUUUUAAAUCUGAGCAGUGAGUGGUCCUUAUUCCAAUACUUCUUACGUAUUUAAUGGUUGGAGGCUGAUUAAUAUCCUCUUAAUCCCAAGGUUUAGGAGUUAAUGGCCAAUGUACCGUUUGUUUAACCCUAGGACUAGCUAGGUUAAUUUAAUUUUCCAAGGACGACUUGUGGCCUUCCAUUGAACCUGGCCGGUGGUGGAUCUGGUAGGCCUUUUUGGAGCGUUAGGCCCAGGUUCUUUUUGUAGCGUUUUUGUUGAGGCAGUUUGGAGGAUUGGGCCCAUCAGGUGGGCCUUUAUCUCAUCAGAGUGCAGACCCUAAGACUGUUGAUCGCAC